GUCUACGGCCAUAUCACCCUGAACAUGCCCGAUCUUGUCUGAUCUUGGAAGCUAAGCAGGGUUGGGCCUGGUUAGUACUUGGAUGGGAGAUCCAAUGGCCAGUAAGCACCAGUGCAGAAAUCC
Ribosomal RNA from Prolemur simus (greater bamboo lemur), 123 nucleotides. Lineage: Eukaryota; Metazoa; Chordata; Mammalia; Primates; Lemuridae. The record is from Ensembl.